AUUGAACGCUGGCGGCAUGCCUAACACAUGCAAGUCGAACGGUAGCAGCAGAGAGCUUGCUCUCUGGCUGACGAGUGGCGGACGGGUGAGUAAUGCAUCGGGACCUGCCCAGAUGUGGGGGAUAACCCGGGGAAACCCGGACUAAUACCGCAUGAGCCCUACGGGGGAAAGCGGGGGAUCUCUUCGGAGACCUCGCGCGUCUGGAUGGACCGAUGUACGAUUAGCUAGUUGGUGGGGUAACGGCCUACCAAGGCGACGAUCGUUAGCUGGUCUGAGAGGAUGAUCAGCCACACCGGGACUGAGACACGGCCCGGACUCCUACGGGAGGCAGCAGAGGGGAAUAUUGGACAAUGGGGGAAACCCUGAUCCAGCAAUGCCGCGUGUGUGAAGAAGGCCUUCGGGUUGUAAAGCACUUUUAUCAGGAACGAAAUCUGCAUGCCUAAUACGUGUGUAGUCUGACGGUACCUGAGGAAUAAGCACCGGCUAACUCCGUGCCACCAGCCGCGGUAAUACGGAGCGUGCAAGCGUUAAUCGGAAUUACUGGGCGUAAAGGGUGCGUAGGCGGUGAGUUAAGUCUGAUGUGAAAGCCCCGGGCUCAACCUGGGAAUGGCAUUGGAA
Molecule: ribosomal RNA, 618 nt
Filed under: uncultured bacterium
Lineage: Bacteria
Description: bacterial SSU rRNA
Rfam family: Bacterial small subunit ribosomal RNA
Source: RNAcentral